UACGAAGGGGGCUAGCGUUGCUCGGAAUUACUGGGCGUAAAGCGCACGUAGGCGGCUUUCUAAGUCGGGGGUGAAAUCCUGGAGCUCAACUCCAGAACUGCCUUCGAUACUGGAGAGCUCGAGUCCGGGAGAGGUGAGUGGAACUGCGAGUGUAGAGGUGAAAUUCGUAGAUAUUCGCAAGAACACCAGUGGCGAAGGCGGCUCACCGGCCCGGUACUGACGCUGAGGUGCGAAAGCGUGGGGAGCAAACAGG
Molecule: ribosomal RNA, 253 nt
Filed under: uncultured bacterium
Lineage: Bacteria
Description: partial 16S ribosomal RNA
Rfam family: Bacterial small subunit ribosomal RNA
Source: RNAcentral